GUAAGAAGGUAGAAACUAGAACCUGUAGGACCUGUCUUGUUGAUAGUGUUGGUAAGAAGGUAGAAACUAGAACCUGUAGGACCUGUCUUGUUGGUAAGAAGGUAGAAACUAGAACCUGUAGGACAUGUCUUGUUGAUAGUGUUGGUAAGAAGGUAGAAACUAGAACCUGUAGGACCUGUCUUGUUGGUAAGAAGGUAGAAACUAGAACCUGCAGGACCUGUCUUGUUGAUAGUGUUGUUAAGAAGGUAGAAACUAGAACCUGUAGGACCUGUCUUGUUGAUAGUGUUGGUAAGAAGGUAGAAACUAGAACCUGUAGGACCUGUCUUGUUGAUAGUGUUGUUAAGAAGGUAGAAACUAGAACCUGUAGGACAUGUCUUGUUGAUAGUGUUGGUAAGAAGGUAGAGCAGUGCUUUAUUAUGGACAUACUUCUCCCCAUCUUAGCUACUGUUAAAUUAAUAUGUUUUGACCGUGAGUUUACAAUCCAGGGUUACUCUAAGCAGUUUAGUCAUCUCAACAUGCUCAAUUUCCACAUGAUUUAUUACAAGAUUUAGUUGAGGUUUACAGUUUAGUGAAUGUUUUGUAGCAAAUACAAUGCUUUUAGUUUUAGAAAUAUUUAGCUAACUUAUUCCUUGCCACCCACUCUGAAACUAACUGCAACUCUUUGUUAAGUGUCACAGUCAUUUCAGUCACUGUAGUAGUGUUGGUCAUUACUGAGAUGUGGCUAAGGAAGAGUGUUUGGAAUACUGAUGUUAACCUUUCUGGUUAUAACCUUUUUAGGCAAGACAGAUCUUGCCUAAAAAGGUGGGGGAGUGACAAUCUUUACUCAGUUGUCUCCACCAAGUCUGUCCCCAAACAAUUUGAUGUGCUGGUUUUAAGUAUUAAACUUUCAAAUAGUUCUUUGUUGACUGUUGCUGGGUGCUAUCGUCCUCCAUCAGCACCGGCCUGUACCCUACUCUCUCCUGGCCCAAGCUUUCUCCUGCCCACUUACACCAAGCCUGAAUUUGUCCUGCUAGGUGACCUAAACUGGGACAUACUUAAACUAUCUGACCAAGUCCUAAAGCAAUGGGACUCCCUAAAUCAUUCUCAGAUCAUUACCAAUCCCACAAGGUAUGACUCCAAACACCCAGAAAAAGCUACUCUUCUUGAUGUUAUCCUCAAAAAUAAUCUUGAUAGGUAUCAGUCUGGCGUUUUCUGUAAUGACCUUAGUGAUCACUGUUUAUCAGCCUGUGUUCGUAAUGGAUGCUCAGUGAAACAACCUGUCCUGAUUUGGUAUAGAAUCAGCUUGAUCCCCUCUGUCGAAGACACUUGGACCUUCUUUUUUAUAUACAAAAAAAGAACCGAAUGGUUCUUUACCAUUCGGUCAUCAGAUUUGGCACCAAUGCUCCAUAUAGGACACAUCACUGCACUC
This is a long non-coding RNA of Oncorhynchus tshawytscha (Chinook salmon), 1408 nucleotides long. The record is from Ensembl. Lineage: Eukaryota; Metazoa; Chordata; Actinopteri; Salmoniformes; Salmonidae.